UCCCUGGUGGUCCAGUGGUUAGGACUUGGCACUUUCACUGCUCCGGCCCAGGUUCCAGCCCUGGUCAGGAAA
This 72-nucleotide transfer RNA is filed under the name Bos taurus (domestic cattle). It matches the Rfam family "tRNA". Rfam says of the family: Transfer RNA (tRNA) molecules are approximately 80 nucleotides in length. RNAcentral also lists the same sequence under 1 other name. The record is from Rfam by way of RNAcentral. Lineage: Eukaryota; Metazoa; Chordata; Mammalia; Artiodactyla; Bovidae.